AUUUAAGUUGGAGGAUUUGGUAUAUGACUUGUUUGAUACACUUACCUGUACAAAUAGGAUCACCGACGUUGGCAUGGAGUGAGAUCUCUUGAUUGUUUAUGACUCGUUUUCUUCUAGAAAGUGUUGGAGAUGGUUUAAAUUAUGACUAUGAGGGAUUUAAACAAACUGAGGUUAUGUCGAUUUCAAAGAACAAAACUCGUUUUGCAGAACUUUCAAGGCACAACAAAUAUUAGUAUCACAAGAGAGAUAGUUCUAUUAGACAAAUUUUUUUACAUAGUGUAGAGUCGUAGAUUAGAUUAUGGGGCAUAUAGAUAAUUCACUUUUCCUUAGAAUAAUUUUGACUCUAAAGGUUGAUUUCAAUCUGAAUUUUUAUAUUUUUUCAAAGAGGAUAAAAUAUACUUUCAAUGUGGUCGAGUAUGCAAUAACAGGAGGGGUCGUCCUUGGCAGCUACGACACAAUUAUUAUCUAGUCAUGAAUUAAUACUAGUAGCUUUAGUAUAGAUUAUGACAGGAUGUUGUGUAUGAAUUGGAUGUUCUUCCAUCAUAUCACCUUAGUCUAUUAUAACAAGGGAGUGAGAAUUGAGAUAUUGGGUAAUCGCUUUUAUCCUUUGCGAGUAGAACGUGAUUUUGUACCAUAUAAUUUAACCUCUUGUUUAGGAUCUAACAAUGUAUUUAAAAAGGGAGUUAUUAUGGAUAAUUAUUCUUGAUUAUGGAAAUACAAGUGAGUGAAGAAAAAACAUUAAAUAGUUCCAAAAACGUGAGUUUCCUAAUGUUUUUCCAGAAGAAUUUCUUAGAUUGCCUCAUGAUAAGAAUAUUAAGAUCUCUAUAAACUUGGUUCCUAACACUCAAUGACAUCCAUACCUCUUAAUCAAAUAGUUAGCAUAACUUUAAGUGUAAGGGAGAAGCUAUAUGAUUUUCUCAAUAAGAUAUUUAUUAGUCCAACUUCUUUUCCUUGGGAAGCUGUGAUAUUGUUUAUAGGGAAGAAAGAUGAACCGUACCCAUGUGAUAUUGUGUGGUAGAGAAUCGAAUAGUAGGGUAGUAACGAGUGAAUAUUGUUCACUUUGAAUUGACGAGUUGUUUGAUAACUUCAAGAAGCUAAGUGUUUUGUCUAGGAAUGAUUUGCGGUCUAGGCAUCACCAAUUAAAGGUUGAGAGGGGUCUUAUUUCAAUGAAAACUCUUUGCACAUACNNNNNNNNNNNNNNNNNNNNNNNNNNNNCAAAUCAAGAUUGUACUGAAGACCUACUAGGAUUGAAAAACUUCUUUUCAAGUCUCAAAAUUCUACCUUUUCUUAUGAGUCACCAAAAUAAAAUAAAAUAAAAAUUACUUAUAUGUGAAAUUCCUAAGCAAUAGAAACAGACAGAAAACCACCUAUUAACUCUACAUUGGUUAGUAGCUUCUAGGCUAUUGACAUAUUUAUCAGUAAAAAUUUAGGCCUUGAUAAGGAUAUUAUUAAACUUGAAAUUUAAUAUUCCUUGAUUUAGGAAUACAUUUGGAUUGAGUAUAUCCAGACUUGGUUGGUAGACUAUUAAGAUGUAAAUUAAAUAUGAAGUAGGUGGUUUAUAUAACAUAAAUACUAGUUAUAAUAGAAUGAUGCCCUGUGAUAGUCAUUCAAGGUGAUUAACUUCUGGAAUAAAUGAAACAAGUAUUUUUUAUUUUUUUUUAUUUAUAAGCUCUUGAAGACUAAUUUUUUAAACCUCCCAAUAUUUCUUACUAUAUGUUUCUUGGGUUAUUAGAUCACGAGUUGAUAAAUUGAAAUAGUAGAGAGUAAAUUAGGUGAGUAAAUUAGGUCAUAAACUACUUACCAAACAAAUCAGAGUUGCGCAGCG
RNAcentral lists this long non-coding RNA (1825 nucleotides) under Trifolium pratense (red clover). Its description in RNAcentral is "long non-coding RNA (TPRA_LNC013337)". The record is from RNAcentral. Lineage: Eukaryota; Viridiplantae; Streptophyta; Magnoliopsida; Fabales; Fabaceae.